AUUUCUUUGCUAUGUCAAUUUCUAUACUUAGGCCGAAAGAAAGUGAGGGCUGGGUAAUCGGAAUCCUUAUCAAACUGAGAAUCCAUGAAUUCAAAGUUUUUGGAACUCAAGGUCAUGUAUUGCAAAGAUUUGAAAUCAUUCAAUUUCUUCCAGAAACUACGGGUGUACGUUCUUGUUUUGCUUGAGAGCGAUGAUCCUGGAAAGAAAUUGAAGCAGAACCAGCAACACAGGACACCCACAGACAAAGAAGGAGAUGCGGAUCCUGAGUGGAAGUACGGGAUGCAGUUUGAUCUGAGUGAGGUUUCAUUUGUGGAUUGUGAUCAUAUCUUUAUUCAUUUUGAUCUACGCCAUGAAGGACUUUAUUUUGGAGAUAAAACUAUCGGGGAAGUACGUGUGCCCUUGAAGGAUUUGAUCCAAGAGAGCAGUGGGAUUGUCAGGUUUGUGAAUUAUCAGGUCAGCACUCCAGAUUGGAAGCCCAAUGGAUUGCUGAAUUUCUCGUUCAAGGUGUAUGCGAAGGGUGAGGAUAUAGGGAUUUAUUUCCCAACAAGUGAGAUCAGUGGGUACUCAGCAGUGCACCAUCAGCAUCAGUCUCCUGAGAUUCAAUAUCCCACAUCCGAAGUUGAGAGCUCAUCUCUUGGAGUUUACUAUCCAUCUAUAGAAUUGGAAGAUAGUCCCCAGGAAACUUACCAUGCUGCCCAAGUUAGCUACCCAUCUCAUGGAACCCAAUAUUCCAGUCAUUAUCCUCCUGCUCCAGCUCCUCAUGCCUAUUGCCCACCAUCAAUGCUACUGCCACCGCCGCUGCUAAACCAACCACCACCACUGCUACACCAACCACCACCACUGCUACACCAACCACCACCAUAUCCACAUGGGGCAUGUUACCAUCCUCCUUUUCCUCCAUGGUUCCACCCCCAGUGAUCGGAUAUAUAGCCAUAGUGCAGACAAUCCCUGUUUUGGCAAUGGAGAGACAUGGACAAAUGAUUUCGGAGCUUACUGGAAUGACAAGUGCAUAUUGCAUUUAGAAUAUUGUUUCAGAUUUGAGUGUUUGUUAUGCUGUUGCUAUACCUCUUCUAAAUCAUAGUUUGUCAAUUAUAUGACUUCUUUAUGGAGAGAAAUUUUG
RNAcentral lists this unclassified non-coding RNA (1120 nucleotides) under Hevea brasiliensis (rubber tree). The record is from RNAcentral. Lineage: Eukaryota; Viridiplantae; Streptophyta; Magnoliopsida; Malpighiales; Euphorbiaceae.